UACGGAGGGUGCAAGCGUUAUCCGGAUUCACUGGGUUUAAAGGGAGCGUAGGUGGGUUGGUAAGUCAGUGGUGAAAUCCCCGAGCUUAACUUGGGAACUGCCAUUGAUACUAUCAGUCUUGAAUACUGUGGAGGUUAGCGGAAUAUGUCAUGUAGCGGUGAAAUGCUUAGGUAUGACAUAGAACACCAAUUGCGAAGGCAGCUGGCUACACAAAUAUUGACACUGAGGCACGAAAGCGUGGGGAUCAAACAGG
This 253-nucleotide ribosomal RNA is filed under the name uncultured bacterium. Its description in RNAcentral is "partial 16S ribosomal RNA". It matches the Rfam family "Bacterial small subunit ribosomal RNA", at positions 524 to 776 of the family's 1533-position model. The record is from RNAcentral.